RNAcentral lists this small nucleolar RNA (94 nucleotides) under Erinaceus europaeus (western European hedgehog). RNAcentral describes it as "Small nucleolar RNA U3 (ENSEEUG00000023422.1)". The record is from RNAcentral. Lineage: Eukaryota; Metazoa; Chordata; Mammalia; Eulipotyphla; Erinaceidae.
AAGACUAUACUUUCAAGGAUCAUUUUUAUAGUGCUUUAAAUAUGGUAAGUCCACCAGGAGUGGUGGAAAAGCAGAGGAGCAAAGCCUCAGUGGC